Molecule: transfer RNA, 72 nt
Filed under: Neotoma lepida (desert woodrat)
Lineage: Eukaryota; Metazoa; Chordata; Mammalia; Rodentia; Cricetidae
Rfam family: tRNA
About the family: Transfer RNA (tRNA) molecules are approximately 80 nucleotides in length. Their secondary structure includes four short double-helical elements and three loops (D, anti-codon, and T loops). Further hydrogen bonds mediate the characteristic L-shaped molecular structure. tRNAs have two regions of fundamental functional importance: the anti-codon, which is responsible for specific mRNA codon recognition, and the 3' end, to which the tRNAs corresponding amino acid is attached (by aminoacyl-tRNA synthetases). tRNAs cope with the degeneracy of the genetic code in two manners: having more than one tRNA (with a specific anti-codon) for a particular amino acid; and 'wobble' base-pairing, i.e. permitting non-standard base-pairing at the 3rd anti-codon position.
Source: Rfam by way of RNAcentral
UGGGAUAUGGCUUGGUGGUAGAGUAUGUGACUCACAUACACAAAACCCUAGAUUCCAUCCCCAGUAUCAUAU